RNAcentral lists this ribosomal RNA (527 nucleotides) under uncultured eukaryote. RNAcentral describes it as "partial 18S ribosomal RNA". It matches the Rfam family "Eukaryotic small subunit ribosomal RNA", at positions 21 to 550 of the family's 1831-position model. The record is from RNAcentral.
UAGUCAUAUGUUUGUAUCAAAGAUUAAGCCAUGCAUGUCCAAGUAUAAGCAAAUUAUAAAGUGAAANNAANNAGGGNAANGAUUAAAUCAGUUAUCGUUUAUUUGAUGAUCUCUUACUACNNGGAUAACCGUGGUAAUUNUAGAGAUAAUACAUGCGCAAGUUCCCGACCUCUGNAANGGAUGUAUUUAUUUNAUAAAAAACCAAUGCCUUCGGUCUUCCUGGUGAUUCAUAGUAACUUAACGAAUCGCAUAGCCUUGUGCUGGCGAUAGUUCAUUCAAAUUUCUGCCCUAUCAACUUUCGAUGGUAAGAUAUAGGCCUACCAUGGUUUCAACGGGUAACGGGGAAUUAGGGUUCUAUUCCGGAUAGGGAGCCUGAGAAACAGCUACCACUUCCAAGGAAGGCANCAGGCGCGCAAAUUACCCAAUCCCGACCCGGGGAGGUAGUGACAAUAAAUUNUUUUUUUGGGGGCUUACNCCUCUUGUAAUUGGAAUGAGUACAAUUUAAAUCUCUUAACCAGGAACAAUUG